This 442-nucleotide ribosomal RNA is filed under the name uncultured bacterium. Its description in RNAcentral is "partial 16S ribosomal RNA". It matches the Rfam family "Bacterial small subunit ribosomal RNA", at positions 339 to 795 of the family's 1533-position model. The record is from RNAcentral.
CUACGGGUCGCUGCAGUGGGGAAUAUUGGACAAUGGACCAAAAGUCUGAUCCAGCAAUUCUGUGUGCACGAUGACGGUCUUCGGAUUGUAAAGUGCUUUCAGUUGGGAAGAAAAAAAUGACGGUACCAACAGAAGAAGCGACGGCUAAAUACGUGCCAGCAGCCGCGGUAAUACGUAUGUCGCAAGCGUUAUCCGGAUUUAUUGGGCGUAAAGCGCGUCUAGGUGGUUUGAUAAGUCUGAUGUGAAAAUGCGGGGCUCAACUCCGUAUUGCGUUGGAAACUGUCAAACUAGAGUAUCGGAGAGGUGGGCGGAACUACAAGUGUAGAGGUGAAAUUCGUAGAUAUUUGUAGGAAUGCCGAUAGAGAAGUCAGCUCACUGGACGAAUACUGACACUGAAGCGCGAAAGCAUGGGGAGCAAACAGGAUUAGAUACCCUUGUAGUC